UGGUCUGACUUGCAGGGAGCGGUGGCCUUGGCCAGGAGCGGUCCUGCCGGACUGUAAUUUUAAUUUCCUGCCCAGGCUGUAAUUUUAAUUUCCCUUGGAUGCUUGGCAAAGCCCUUCUGGGGGAGCCCUAGUGCCUGGCAUGAGCGGAGCGGGCUUCCAGGGAGGUAUUCACCUGGUCAGCGUCAGGAACCAUCCUCCCUGAAGCCUCGGUGAGUGUUUUUUGUGUGACUGGACAGUGAAGCUGUGUGAAUGACCUGGCUAGUGCUCGGUGUAGUCCUAAUUAAAGUGUCUUUUACUCUGUGUUCCCAGGCUCCCUCUUUCCCUUCGGUUGCCGUGGAUGUGCCGGACACCUCUGGCAGGACUAACCCUGUGGCUUUUAUGUCCAACGUGCUGUGUGCCUGCAGGUAAGAAAAGCUGGGAGUGCAGUCCCUCUGCUUUGCUUGCUGUGUCUCUUGGGUAGUGAUUUUGGAGGGGAAUCCCAGAGCGAUUUGGUGUGAAGGGGACCUUCAAAGGCCACCCUGUCUUCCGUGGGCAGGGACACCUUCCCCUCUCAUCCCCGGUUGCUCCAAGUCCCGUCCAGCCUGGCCUGGAACACUUGCAGGGAUCCAGGGGCAGCCUCAGCUUCCCUGUGCAGUGUGCUCUAAUAUCUCUCCACUGGCAUCCUGAAAAAUGUUGUCAGCGUGUUUUGUUGGACGACGGUAAGCGGGACCUGGGUGAAAAGGACAUUCUCUGAGGUGCUGGGAGAAGGAGGGCUCGUGCGGGCACCUCCAGAGACAGUGGGAACGGGAGCGUGCUGCAGAGAAGGAAAAUUCCAGGGGAAUUGCCACGAGAGGAAAUACUUCAGAGGGGCUUCCCUCCAGAUAAGCCCUGAAUGUGCCAGGAGGUUUCAGCCGGGAGAAAGGAGCUGUGGAAGAAAAGCAGCCUAAAAAUAGCCAGCGGGGAUCAUCAGGUUUUCCAGCCAAGAAAAACCAGGAGGGAGAUGAGGGAAUCGGGUUCCAAUUCCUAAAGAUUUGGUGGGUGUAGGAAUGAUUUCUGUGUGUUUUCCAGUCCCUUUUGAUUCCUGGGAUGAUUUUAAAAUGAUGGCUAAAUUGGAGAUGUUGUUUUUGAGAGGAAAUGAUGCCAAAUAAAUGCAAAGUUUGGGGUCAGUUUU
Pseudopipra pipra is the source of this 1150-nucleotide long non-coding RNA. RefSeq lists it as uncharacterized. The transcript is spliced from 2 exons. Lineage: Eukaryota; Metazoa; Chordata; Aves; Passeriformes; Pipridae. The record is from RefSeq and is a predicted model, not a curated record.